CUUCCCUCCCUUCCUCUACUCCUCUCUUCCCUCCCUUCCUCUACUCCUCCCUUCCUCUACUAAACUAACCUCCCCCUAACCCUAACCCUUCUUACCUGUGGCCUUCUUACCUGUGGCCUAUGAACUCAGAAAUGUGUCAAACACUCAUGUCUCCUCUGAACAAUGGCUUUGACAUUUCAGAGCUCUGGGAUGUGGACUUUCUUCAAGUACAAAUCUGUUUGUAGAGGGAACCUUUUAUUUUGUGGUUCUGCAGAAUUCCAAACUUCUCACACAGAUUCAUUUGGUGUUUGGUGAACAGUUUUAAUUUAUUUGCUUUUAUUUUGUUUAUCCUUUCUUCAGUUUUCUCUCUGUGUCCUAUGGCUGAAGGGUAUUUAAACAGUUAAAAGUUGGACUAAAGAGUUCAUCAGACUGACCAAUAGCUGCUACUUUGAUAUGUUUUAGUUGUCAACGAAUAUACAUUAUAUAGUAUAUAUGGAAUAUUGUUUUUUGUAUCAAUAUUUUAUAUAUAAUAUAUAGAAUAUGGAUGUUUUUGUACAUAGUUUCAAAUUUUUAUUGCUUUCUUUGGAAGCAUUUCUGGUAAGAUUUUUAUUUUUUUUUUUUUCUAACCCCAGAUAUAACACACCUGUCAGCGCUCCGUGCAUCUGGCCGGGCCGUGUGUGGCAGGUAGUGUCACAUCUCUACAAGGUAGAUACCCUAACCUUUACCCAUACAUCACAUCUCUACAAGGUAGAGGACUAUUAGGCCCUAUCAAUAAUAAAGGUUAGAGGUGAAGUUCUGUUGCUAUGGUCUGUUGCUAGGGGGCUGUUCUGGUCAUGUGAUUUUAAGUUUUCACUGGCUGGUCCUUGAAGCUGUGUAGUCUAGUUAAACCACCAUGCCUGUCUUUAUAGUUAAGAUUAUUCAGGAGCAUCUUUAGAUCAUUAUAAUGCACAGUAAGAAGACACAGUAAGAAUGGUAAUCAAUUUUCCUUUUUAAUUUUAGAUACUAUCAUUUUGGAAAGAUCUCUUAGAAUAUUGAAGAAAGCAAGAAAAUACCCACAUACAGAUUUGUUUCAGCAUCUAAUGUUUGGAAUCUAAUUUAUUUUACAAAGUCUGGUUGGAGUUUUAGUCAGAGGUAAAUAAUUGUCUUGUUGAAAGUAGAAUUUGAGAGGAGUCCGGCGGGUUGAGAAGGAUCCUCAGGUGUUCUGCCUGUGUGUUCAGCCAGUCUACCUCAGCAUGUUGAAUCAAUCACCGUCUGUGUCCCCUAAUCCCAGCGUCACCUUCAGAUGCAACACCUGCAGUGUCAUCAGUACACCAGGCACGCUGCCACACAGCAGGAAAACAACCAGCAACGUUGCCCUAGCUCUGCUGGGAUUCAGGAUGAAAGCUCUUACUACCAUGUUUAAAUCAGAAGAAGCAACCGUUCAUCAGGUUCUUCUGGAGGUUAUUCUAAAGUGUCUUUUGUAAACUCCACCCACUGCCCCCCAUUGCCCUGUGUAAGGCAGGGUGAGACUGUCUAGAUCUACUGUGUAAGGCAGGGCAGGGUGAGACUGUCUAGAUCUACUGUGUAAGGCAGGGUGAGACUGUCUAGAUCUACUGUGUCCAGAUCAGCUUCUCUCCCUAACCCUUCACAGACAUCCUCCACAUCUUAUUAAUUUUUUUUAAAUUAUUGUAAUUUUUGUAAUUUUAACUUCUUCCGUUCAUGUUGUUUGUAUCUUUAUUUUAUACUGUGAAUAUCAAGAGAGAGAACCUUGUAUCCAUGCCGUGGAUUGUGUGCUGUUGAUGUGAAGCAGCCCCCCCUCCAACUGGUCCGGGAGUGCUGGACUAGAACAAUCCUGUGUGCCAUAACAACGUCCAAAAAAAACUCAAAACAUAGAGAAAAUGUGUAGAUUGUAGUUUCCUCAGGGAGGCAGCCUGAGGUGUGUGUGGAGAUGGAGCUACCUGCCUUCAUAAUCUCUGACCUCCUAAUUUGCCUGCUAGGGCUUCACAGUUCUGUGACUUGUCUGGAGGUGGAGCCUGUAGGUUUCAGCUUCAACCCUCCGUCUGAUCAGGUCUCACUCUAGAUGUCUGAUCGCAGCUUAGCAUGCUAAUGGGCUGUGGGGACGGCCUCUAGUGGUUGGCUGUUAGAAUUGCAGUCAGGUUCCAACUCAUAGUGCCUUGCUGAGACUGUCCUCCUAUAAGACCCCUAGAGUAUCUUUCCACCUAUCAGAGCGGAGAGACCCCUUCUUUUGGAACUGUAGAAUACGGCCAUGUGAUGCCUUCAGGGGAGUGCAGUCAGCACCCUACCUCCUUGGUUCUCCGGAACUGCUGGGAUCUAUGUGAAUGAGGACAUGGGAGUUUUUUUCAAACAUUGAACUGGUCUCUGGUUGGCUGAGCUGCCUGACAGACAGCGUGUUUUAAAUGAUUUGCUUUUCAACAACUCUCACUUUGUUAUUUUGUUGUUGUUGACUCAAAUCACAUGUGACAAACUGUGAUUAACAGGAACUGACAGCAUCUUUCGAUUUCAAAAAGCUCUAUUUGAUAUGCAUACAGUCCAAUAUUUGAAAGAAAAAAUAUAAUAUAAAACAAUCUCCAAACUGUAAAUAGCUGCAGCCCCCAAACAUGAAAGCACUUAAUUUAGGUUAAACUCUGAUAACCUAAAAUGUGGUUUGGUAGAGCAUGUGGUUGAACCAGCAGGUUUAGAACAAAGCAUUCUAUAUUGUAUUGUUUUGAUAAACGAAAAAAGUAUUACAUUUAGAGAUGUUUUAGGAUGUUUUUUUUUUCUUCCAGAAUAGGGAGGAUCAAAUAACUUUUCUUACUGUAAACUUUUAAUACUCUUGUACAUUAUCAAAUUGAACAUCAAUGUAUGUUGUCCUACAACAACAAAUACAACUUAUGUUGUGUUUUGUUAAAUAAUGUUGUGUUUUGCUCACAACACUACCCCACCAUGGUCUGGAAGUGUAACCAAGGCAACAUGAUGUAUGUGGCCUGAAAUGUCAAUGUGUUUAUGUUCUGUCAUGUUUUGUAUGACCUCAACCAUCUUCACAAUCACUGCAGCACCUCAACUUAAACUUCUGGUUUGUAAAGUGUCUCUAAUAUCAUCUGGAGUAUGAAAGAAAAUUCCUUUGCUUGCUGCCUUUCUGAAGGGGAAACUAUCUAGGUUUUACAUUUAGCUUUCUCUAUGUGAAUGACUGGAAAAGACCACUGCAUGUUUUCUUUCGGGGGAAAAACAAGCAAACACAAAGAUUCUUUAUAAGCUAGGAUUUGUCCAAUUGGUUAUUAAAUCCCAAUUAAAUGUGGAAAAGUUUGUCUAAGUUCUGUCUAAACUUGCUAGUUUUUAACAGCUGCCCACCCCUGUUGUUAUUUGGCAGCAAGAAGAAACAGCUUCAAGUAGAGUGAUAUUAUGUCCUAAUGUCUGUUAUGUCAUGAAAAACGUUGUAUACAUGUGUUGUAGUCACCAUGGUUAUAAUGGUUAUGAAAUGAUUCGGCCAAACUGUCCUACAUCUGAAAAUAUUUAUGUAACUUCACCCUCAGAAAUGGUUUGGUCUUUUAAUAUUUGUAAAAUCAGUCAGAGUUGUUGCUGAGUGGGAAAAGAUUGGUGGACAGAUGGUGGGUUGGGAUGAGGCAGGUGAUGUUGUGGGUUCUAGAGUUCUGAAGAAGGGUUCUUUUCCAGUGUGUUCAAGUGUUGAUGUCCUAGUCUUUGGUCAGGUCUCCUGGCCCCCGUAGUGUCUCUAUUGAGAUUUGUCCGUCCGUUCAGUUGGCGUGCUCCUUCGUUGGUGUGGCCAUGGGUUCCUCUGUGUUCUUUACGAUUGCUGCUCCUCCUGCUCCUCCUCUUCUCUUGUUGCACCUACAUAGUCCCAGUGUGUUGUCUGGGAGCACACUUCUCGUUUUAAACUGAUUCGAACUGUGUUUUUAGAAACUCUACUGAUGUGUCGUGUUGUCUCAUAGGUACAUAUACAUACAGGAGACUACAUGUACUGUAUAGCAACCACAGGUGUAGCUACACUCACACUGGACCCAAAUGUUCCAUGGUCUUUACGUGUAUCACACAUGUGAAUAUCCCACUCAGUCACAUCCACCACACAACAACAACCCAUAUUGUACAGGAUCAAGGGUUAGGAUUAGGGCAAUUACUAAAUGACGCUUGACAGUUUAUUUUUUAUAUGUUUUCAAGGAGAGCCAAGCAGUGACAUGUACAGAAUUUUUUUUGGAAUGAUAUGAAAAUAAAAUAUUGCUGUGUGUAAAUUAUUCAUCAAUUAACUGUUUAUAUUAAAAUUAUGAAAAGAAG
This is a long non-coding RNA of Osmerus eperlanus (European smelt), 4242 nucleotides long. RefSeq lists it as uncharacterized. NCBI's taxonomy places the organism in Eukaryota, Metazoa, Chordata, Actinopteri, Osmeriformes, Osmeridae. The record is from RefSeq and is a predicted model, not a curated record. The transcript has 3 exons.